CCUACGGGUGGCAGCAGUGAGGAAUAUUGGUCAAUGGGCGGAAGCCUGAACCAGCCAAGCCGCGUGAGGGAAUAAGGCCCUACGGGUCGUAAACCUCUUUUGUCGGGGAGCAAGGGCCGGGACGAGUCUCGGUCCGGAGAGUACCCGGAGAAAAAGCAUCGGCUACGUCCGUGCCAGCAGCCGCGGUAAUACGGAGGAUGCGAGCGUUAUCCGGAUUUAUUGGGUUUAAAGGGUGCGUAGGCGGGCUAUUAAGUCAGCGGUAAAAAUUCGGGGCUCAACCCCGUCCGGCCGUUGAAACUGGGGGCCUUGAGUGGGCGAGAAGAAGGCGGAAUGCGUGGUGUAGCGGUGAAAUGCAUAGAUAUCACGCAGAACCCCGAUUGCGAAGGCAGCCUUCCGGCGCCCUACUGACGCUGAGGCACGAAAGUGCGGGGAUCGAACAGGAUUAGAUACCCUUGUAGUC
Molecule: ribosomal RNA, 460 nt
Filed under: uncultured bacterium
Lineage: Bacteria
Description: partial 16S ribosomal RNA
Rfam family: Bacterial small subunit ribosomal RNA
Source: RNAcentral